RNAcentral lists this ribosomal RNA (207 nucleotides) under uncultured bacterium. RNAcentral's name for it is "partial 16S ribosomal RNA". It matches the Rfam family "Bacterial small subunit ribosomal RNA", at positions 568 to 774 of the family's 1533-position model. The record is from RNAcentral.
UAGGUAGGUGGUCUCAUUUGUCUGGGGUGAAAGCCUUGAGCUUAACUCAAGAGGUGCCCCAGAGACGGUGAGACUGGAGUCCUGGAGAGGGUCGUGGAAUUCCCGGUGUAGCGGUGAAAUGCGUAGAGAUCGGGAGGAACACCAGAGGCGAAGGCGGCGACCUGGACAGGUACUGACACUCAACUACGAAAGCGUGGGGAGCAAACA